Molecule: non-coding RNA, 537 nt
Organism: Vicugna pacos (alpaca)
Lineage: Eukaryota; Metazoa; Chordata; Mammalia; Artiodactyla; Camelidae
Source: RefSeq, a predicted model, not a curated record
GAGCAGACACAGGCUCCUAAACCCAAAGCAGCGCAAACACCAAAGCAGAGAGGACGUGCCUUCUGCUCAAAGGGAUCGCUGGACGGGGGUGUUUCCAUCAGUGUCGGCCCCAGACACGGUGACAUGGGGGCUGUACUGAAGGGCUCUUGGGACCCCCAUCCCCCGACAGGCUUACCACCCGGCCCUGCGAUUUAUGAACAAGUUUCAGUGAGAAGCCAACGCCUGGCCUCAGCUGCGCAGCCCUCCGAGCGUCCCAGGUCCGUAAGCAAGCUGCCGUUUGCAGCUGGGUGUUCAUGACUGUUCUUGCCGGCGAACGUCACGUCGCGUUCCACGAUCCCGUGCAGGGAAGGUUCGAUCCAGCCAGUGGUGCCUUCAGGGAGGCUAAACCUGACCGACCGGAGCAGACGCCGGCCAUUUCCCGUUAGGCGUUCAACUCUGGAAAUGGCCUGAGAGGUAACAUAGCCUGAAUCCAUGACGUUACAGAUGUGGAAACUGGGGCCAGGGGACAGCAGGUAAGCUCCUGACAUCUGCGCCCCA